Molecule: ribosomal RNA, 440 nt
Filed under: uncultured bacterium
Lineage: Bacteria
Description: partial 16S ribosomal RNA
Rfam family: Bacterial small subunit ribosomal RNA
Source: RNAcentral
CCUACGGGUGGCAGCAGUGGGGAAUAUUGCACAAUGGGGGGAACCUUGAUGCAGCAACGCCGCGUGGGUGAAGAAGUACUCCGUUAUGUAAAGCUCUAUCAGCAGGGAAGAAAAUGACGGUACCUGACCAAGAAGCCCCGGCUAACUACGUGCCAGCAGCCGCGGUAAUACGUAGGGGGCAAGCGUUAUCCGGAUUUACUGGGUGUAAAGGGAGCGUAGACGGCAAGGCAAGUCUGGAGUGAAAGCCCGUGGCACAACCACGGGACUGCUGUGGAAACUGUGUUGCUGGAGUGCAGGAGGGGUAAGCGGAAUUCCUAGUGUAGCGGUGAAAUGCGUAGAUAUUAGGAGGAACACCGGUGGCGAAGGCGGCUUACUGGACUGUAACUGACGUUGAGGCUCGAAGGCGUGGGGAGCAAACAGGAUUAGAUACCCGGGUAGUC